AGAGUUUGAUCCUGGCUCAGAGUGAACGCUGGCGGCGUGCCUAACACAUGCAAGUCGAACGAGAACGGAUUACAGCUUGCUGUAAUUGUCAGCUAAGUGGCGCACGGGUGAGUAAUAUAUAGUUAAUCUGCCUCAAAGAAGAGAAUAAUUGUUGGAAACGACUUGUAAUGCUCUAUAUGCCUUUAUCACAUAAGUGAGCAAGGGAAAUAUUUAUAGCUUUGGGAUGAGACUGUACGGUAUCAGCUAGUUGGUGAGGUAAUGGCUCACCAAGGCUAUGACAUCUAACUGGUUUGAGAGGAUGAUCAGUCACACUGGAACUGAGACACGGUCCAGACUCCUACGGGAGGCAGCAGUGGGGAAUAUUGCGCAAUGGAGGAAACUCUGAUGCAGCAACGCCGCGUGGAGGAUGACACAUUUCGGUGCGUAAACUCCUUUUAUAUGAGAAGAUAAUGACGGUAUCAUAUGAAUAAGCACCGGCUAACUCCGUGCCAGCAGCCGCGGUAAUACGGGGGGUGCAAGCGUUACUCGGAAUCACUGGGCGUAAAGAGCAUGUAGGCUGGUAAUUAAGUUGGAAGUGAAAUCCUAUGGCUCAA
This 593-nucleotide ribosomal RNA is filed under the name uncultured bacterium. Its description in RNAcentral is "bacterial SSU rRNA". It matches the Rfam family "Bacterial small subunit ribosomal RNA", at positions 8 to 612 of the family's 1533-position model. The record is from RNAcentral.